GAUGAGCGCUGGCGGCGUGCCUAAUACAUGCAAGUCGAGCGAACAGAUGAGGAGCUUGCUCCUCUGACGUUAGCGGCGGACGGGUGAGUAACACGUGGAUAACCUACCUAUAAGACUGGGAUAACUUCGGGAAACCGGAGCUAAUACCGGAUAAUAUAUUGAACCGCAUGGUUCAAUAGUGAAAGACGGUUUUGCUGUCACUUAUAGAUGGAUCCGCGCCGCAUUAGCUAGUUGGUAAGGUAACGGCUUACCAAGGCAACGAUGCGUAGCCGACCUGAGAGGGUGAUCGGCCACACUGGAACUGAGACACGGUCCAGACUCCUACGGGAGGCAGCAGUAGGGAAUCUUCCGCAAUGGGCGAAAGCCUGACGGAGCAACGCCGCGUGAGUGAUGAAGGUCUUCGGAUCGUAAAACUCUGUUAUUAGGGAAGAACAAAUGUGUAAGUAACUAUGCACGUCUUGACGGUACCUAAUCAGAAAGCCACGGCUAACUACGU
This 496-nucleotide ribosomal RNA is filed under the name uncultured bacterium. RNAcentral's name for it is "partial 16S ribosomal RNA". It matches the Rfam family "Bacterial small subunit ribosomal RNA", at positions 28 to 506 of the family's 1533-position model. The record is from RNAcentral.